GGUUGCGGACAGUGUCUGGUGGGUAGUUUGACUGGGGCGGUCUCCUCCUAAAGAGUAACGGAGGAGCACGAAGGUUGGCUAAUCCUGGUCGGACAUCAGGAGGUUAGUGCAAUGGCAUAAGCCAGCUUGACUGCGAGCGUGACGGCGCGAGCAGGUGCGAAAGCAGGUCAUAGUGAUCCGGUGGUUCUGAAUGGAAGGGCCAUCGCUCAACGGAUAAAAGGUACUCCGGGGAUAACAGGCUGAUACCGCCCAAGAGUUCAUAUCGACGGCGGUGUUUGGCACCUCGAUGUCGGCUCAUCACAUCCUGGGGCUGAAGUAGGUCCCAAGGGUAUGGCUGUUCGCCAUUUAAAGUGGUACGCGAGCUGGGUUUAGAACGUCGUGAGACAGUUCGGUCCCUAUCUGCCGUGGGCGCUGGAGAACUGAGGGGGGCUGCUCCUAGUACGAGAGGACCGGAGUGGACGCAUCACUGGUGUUCGGGUUGUCAUGCCAAUGGCACUGCCCGGUAGCUAAAUGCGGAAGAGAUAAGUGCUGAAAGCAUCUAAGCACGAAACUUGCCCCGAGAUGAGU
RNAcentral lists this ribosomal RNA (567 nucleotides) under Salmonella enterica subsp. enterica serovar Infantis. RNAcentral describes it as "partial 23S ribosomal RNA". It matches the Rfam family "Bacterial large subunit ribosomal RNA", at positions 2243 to 2809 of the family's 2925-position model. The record is from RNAcentral. RNAcentral also lists the same sequence under 1 other name. Lineage: Bacteria; Pseudomonadati; Pseudomonadota; Gammaproteobacteria; Enterobacterales; Enterobacteriaceae.